AUGUUGUUCAUAGAAGAGAAGAUGCUCUUCUGGGUGUGCCAAGGUUUGGGUUUAAAUAUGGAGGAUUUCCUAAUCUUUGUAGCAGCACGAGUCAUGGGUUCGCGUCGUUCAACACUAGUUUUAAUGAUUCUCCACCAAAAGCGGGAGUAAGGAAAACGACUACAUCUACACGAUUUCUAAAUGGAAAAAGAUAGAGGAGAAAAAAAUUAUAGAUAAUGGAAUCGAGACAGUGACAGUGUAUGAAGACGGAGUUGUAAAGUCCAAAACUGUUAAUGGAGAACCUCAAACAGUCCAAUAGUCCAAGUAAUGCUCGACAUCAUUCGAGAAUUUUGGAAUCACUUCAUCCAUGCAUCCAUUAUAAUUUUCAUUGGUAUUUGUACAUUAAGGCAUUUCAUACUGAGUGUUAUUAUGAAAUCUGUGGGAUGGUUUAAGUGUUCCUGUUUCUAUAUGUAACACCAUUUGACACCAAACUAACAGAAAAUUUAGCUUCUAUGUCAUAUUUUUAGGUGGUGAGGCUGAGAUUAUAGAUUGUUAUGGGUACUCAAGCAUUUCUAUAAUGUUCAAUUUUGUGUCAGAUCAUAAAGAAUAUUUAAUAAUAUUGAAAUUAGUUUUUGUUUAUCCUGUCUAAGAGAACAAGAGGUGUUUAGAGUUGGCACAACCUGUUAACUGUGUGUCUGCUCAUAUGUCUGUCCCAGUUGGUUUUAGUGAAAAGUUUUAUGUUGUGAUGGUGAACCACUAAGGUUUCUAAAACUCUAAAAAAUGGGAAACUUGCACAUCAGAAGGAUAUGUAUGUGUGUGUGUAUAAUGAUGUGUGAAACUACUUAGCUACUGUUGUACCCAACACAGUUGGCAUGUUGUGUAAACACAUUUAAAGGAAAAGUUUUAUUUAGUUUCAUUUCAAAAUUGUAUAUAUUGAUAUUUAGGAUCUGUGGGAUCGAGUUUUUUAGUAUUUCCUGCAUUAAUUUUGUUAUGGUUUAUUUUCCUAUGUCCUGCUAAUAAGUUGAUAGGACAUUUUGGAUGUGUUUAGUGUAAAUUGUUGGCUCAUAUAUUGUGUUCUGAAGAACAGGUUCUUGUAAGUAGUUUUAAGUUUCAUGAAUUCUGCCUGAAAUUAACCAGAUUCAAAUGAUUUUUUACUAAGCAUGAAGAUACUGUGAGUGUAAUAAAAUGUAUUGCUUUGUUAAUAUAAUGUACGGUUUUGUUUUGGCAUUCACUUACUCUUAGGCAAAACAAAAAUAUUUGUUUUUUUUAUUCUUAAAGCUUUGCUCACAUUAAUAAAAGGAAUCAAUUUAAAGAGUGCCAUAUCUGUUAUGCUCACAUUUUCUAAGUCUUAGUCAUGCACAUUAUAAACAUGGAGUUAACUAGAAAUAUUUAUUAUCCUCCAUUUAAAAUAUAAAGUUGGAGGUUAACUAGAAAAAGGGUAUUAUUCACUAUUCAAAGAAUAAACAUGGAGGUUAGCUAAAAAUGUGUACUAUCCUCCAUUCAAAGUAUAAACAUGGAGGUUAGCUAAAAAUGGGUAUUAUUCUCCAUUUAAAAUAUAAAGUUGGAGUUGGAGGUUAACUAAAAAUGUGUACUAUCCUCCAUUCAAAGUAUAAACAUGGAGGUUAACUAGAAAAAGGGUAUUAUUCACUAUUCAAAGAAUAAACAUGGAGGUUAACUAGAAAAAGGGUAUUAUUCACUAUUCAAAGAAUAAACAUGGAAGUUAACUAGAAAUGGGUAUUAUCCACCACUCAGAGUAUAAACAUGGAGGUUAACAAGAAAUGGGUAUUAUUGACCAUUCAAGAAAGAUGCCUACUGGCUACCUGUAUCAUGAAAAAUAGUUGUGUUUAUCACAAUAUGAAAUUUAGAGAAUCUAAUCCUAAAUGGAUUUGAUAUAGAAAAAUGGAAUACUAAAAUAUUACAUAUAUUGAAGGUAUGUCAACUAACCUGUCGGGUAUAAACGACACAGAAAUAUACUUAAAUUAUCUAUUGUUAUUGUUUAAAGACAAUAAGAGAUAUAAGCACCAAAUCACAGUUUAGAAAUCAAUCUGUACGUAAUGUGUAUAGUUUUAUGUGUAGAAGAAGAGUUUAGAGUUGAAAUUAAUUCUUUAUCUAGCUAUUUCUCAUAACUUUGGAAAUGCAUUUGUUGUUUUUUAUCAUUUUAAUCAUGUGUUUACUGAUAAGUUAUAAGAUUUUACCUUGUACGUGAGAAACAUUCUUUCUGUAUUAGAAAGUAGGCUACUGAACAACUUCCUACUUCCUGCAUUUUAAAAGAAACUAAUUAGAUUUUUAUUGUCAACUGUGUUUAGGUCAUGAUUUUGUAAAUAGCAGCUUGAAAUACAUUCUUGUGAUAUAUCCUGAAGUGGCUUUUUAACUUGAAAGAUCAAACUUUAACAUAGCUUAAAUAAAUAUUUAAAAAAGUAAAUUAUCUACAAUUAAUUUGAAUACAGUGAUAACAUCUAAUUCAAAUUAUUGUAUUUAAAUAGAAUUGUUUUAUAAAUGCUUUUUCUUUACCAAACCAACUAUUUCAAGGCAAUUAAUUAAGAAAUUCAUGUGAUAUGAAUGGAAUUAUAUAUAUAUAAGUUAUUUCAACAUAUUGGAAUAAAAACACUGUAAAGACAUGGUUAAUAAUAUGUUCUUUCACCAAGCUAUAUCAUAAUAAGUAUGAUAUCUUUCUUACUGAUUGUUCUGUAGUUUGAUGAUAUCAGGAAUGUUGAAGUUGACUCUGAUAUUUCUGUAUUAGUGUACCCAAAAAAUGUUCUUAUGAUUUGUUGGGCUAUUAAGUUGAAAUUGUUUUUGACAUUAAAGUUUUUUCUAGUGAACUAAUGAUGAGAAUAUUUUUUCUGAUAAUUUGUGAAACAUUAAUUGUACCUCUCUUGUUUGAUAUCGAGUGUUUUGUAUUUAUUGACUUGCUUUUAGAUAACCUGGUUACAUUCUGUGCUUCUUCAACAUUUAUUGAUUAAGCCCUAGUUUCAUUUACUACAAUUUAAUAAUGCUGAAAGUGGUUGCAAAGUAGAUGAUUGUUUUUCAAAUUCUUUUUAGUUGUGUUUACACUGCUUACCUUGUGACAGGGAUGUUUGUACAUGUAAUCUUAAAACAAUAUAAUAUAAGCAAUGUAUUCGUUAGAAAGACAUUCUUCAUGUUAUUUUAAACUUAAACAUAUAGUUACAUAGGUAAAGAAAAAAUGAGGAUCCAGUUUUGCAAGAUUUUAUUUUCGUAAUAGGGUGAAUAUUUUUUGAAAGAUUAGGAAUAUCCAACUUCUAAAUAUUAAACCAUCUUUUCGUCCUUUUUCAUUAGCUAAGUUAAUAUUAUUUCAUAAUAAAAUCAACUCAUUAAAAUUGGCAAACACUGAUCAAUUUUUGAAAAUGUUUUAGUUUAAAAAAAAGAAAUAUUAUUCAUUAGAAAUUUGAUAGAUGAAACUUAUCAUGUAGAAGAUAAUAGGUGACACAUAAUGUUACUUGUAAGCGGUUAACCAUAAUGUCCCCUUGUUACUUACAACAGGUAUAUUCUGUAAGUGGUUAUCCCUAACGACCUCUUGUUACUUACAAUAGACAUCUCUUGUAAGCAGUUAUCCCUAACGAUCUCUUGUUACUUACUACAGGUAUCUUCUGUAAGUGGUUAUCCCCAAUGAUCACUUGUUACUUACAACAGGCAUCUCGUGUAAGUGGCUAUCCCUAACGAUCUCUUGUUACUUACAACAGGCAUCUCCUGUAAGCAGUUAUCCCUAAUGGUCCCUUGUUACAUACAACAGGUAUCUCCUUUAAUAGGUUAUCUCUAAUGAUCUCUUGUUACUUACAAUAGACAUCUCUUGUAAGCAGUUGUCCCUAACGAUCUCUUGUUACUUAUUACAGGUAUCUUCUGUAAGUGGUUAUCCCCAAUGAUCACUUGUUACUUACAACAGGCAUCUCCUGUAAGUGGUUAUCCCUAACGAUCUCUUGUUACUUACUACAGGUAUCUUCUGUAAGUGGUUAUCCCCAGUGAUCACUUGUUACUUACAACAGGCAUCUCCUGUAAGUGGUUAUCCCUAACGAUCUCUUGUUACUUACUACAGGUAUCUCCUGUAAGCAGUUAUCCCCAAUGAUCACUUGUUACUUACAACAGGCAUCUCCUGUAAGUGGUUAUCCCUAAUGAUCUCUUGUUACUUACAACAGGCAUCUUCUGUAAGCGGUUAUCCUUAAUGGUCCCUUGUUACAUACAACAGGUAUCUCUUUUAAUAGGUUAUCUCUAAUGAUCUCUUGUUACUUACAACAGGUAUCUCUUUUAAUAGGUUAUCUCUAAUGAUCUCUUGUUACUUACAACAGGUAUCUCUUUUAAUAGGUUAUCUCUAAUGAUCUCUUGUUACUUACAACAGGCAUCUCCUGUAAGCGGUUAUCCUUAAUGAUCUCUUGUUACUUACAACAGGCAUCUCCUGUAAGCUGUUAUCCUUAAUGAUCUUUUGUUACUUACAACAGGCAUCUCCUGUAAGCAGUUAUCUCUAAUGGUCCCUUGUUACAUACAACAGGUAUCUCCUUUAAUAGGUUAUCUCUAAUGAUCUCUUGUUACUUACAACAGGCUUUUCCUGUAAGCGGUUAUCCUUAACGAUCUCUUGUUACUUACUACAGGUAUCUUCUGUAAGUGGUUAUCCCCAAUGAUCUCUUGUUACUUACAACAGGCAUCUCCUGUAAGCGGUUAUCCCUAAUGACUCCUUGUUACUUACAACAGGUAUCUUCUAUAAGUGGUUAUCCUUAACGAUCUCUUGUUACUUACAACAGGUAUCUUCUAUAAGUGGUUAUAUUUAACAAUCUCUUGUUACUUACAACAGGUAUCUUCUGUAAGUGGUUAUCCCCAAUGAUAUCUUGUUACUUACAACAGGCAUCUCUUGUAAGCGGUUAUCCCUAAUGACCCCUUGUUACUUACAACAGGUAUCUUCUAUAAGUGGUUAUAUUUAACAACAUCUUGUUACUUACAAUUUUACUCUUGGGUAGAAACUAUCACUACGUAGGAAUGUCGUGUUUACCAAGCAAAACAAAUUAACCAUUUACCAUAGUUUCUAAACCUAAUACAUGCAAGUUAAAGAAAAUGAACACCAUGGAACUCAAGGCAGAAUAAGAUUGAAGGCAUAUUUGUAAUCUUUUCAUACAUUUACUUAUAAUGUUUCUUUCUUUUGUUUCGAUUUUAAUAUUUAUGCUGUUUGGUAGCAAGUCUGUUGGUGUUAUAUUUCUUAACAUUAAACUUCAAUCAACCAGUAUUCAGAAAUUUUGUAUAAAACUUAUAAUUAUAUUUAAAUAUGGGUGUAGGACAUAUACUUUCCUCUUGAAAUCUAAUACGUUUUCAUUUAUGUUUAGUCCACAUUUGAAUUGUCGCCUUCAAACUUUAAUUGUACUUGGUAAGAUUGGGGUAAUAUUUUGAGAAAAUCUUACUAGCAAAUAUGAAACAUGAUCUUGCUCAUUUUUAACUUUGGUAAAUAUAGGUAUAUUUUAUGAGCACGUAUAAGUAAUGCUGUGAUUUCGAUAUGUAACUUGUAAUUUUACGUUUUUUCUAAUAAAAGCCUUUUAAGUAAAGGAA
Molecule: long non-coding RNA, 5520 nt
Organism: Limulus polyphemus (Atlantic horseshoe crab)
Lineage: Eukaryota; Metazoa; Arthropoda; Merostomata; Xiphosura; Limulidae
Exons: 3
Source: RefSeq, a predicted model, not a curated record